UGGGGAAUCUUGGACAAUGGGCGCAAGCCUGAUCCAGCCAUGCCGCGUGAGUGAAGAAGGCCUUCGGGUUGUAAAGCUCUUUUGUCAGGGACGAUAAUGACGGUACCUGAAGAAUAAGCCCCGGCAAACUUCGUGCCAGCAGCCGCGGUAAUACGAAGGGGGCUAGCGUUGUUCGGAAUUACUGGGCGUAAAGCGCACGUAGGCUGAUUGUUAAGUCAGGGGUGAAAUCCCAGAGCUCAACUCUGGAACUGCCCUUGAUACUGGCAAUCUCGAGUCCGGAAGAGGUUAGUGGAAUUCCCAGUGUAGAGGUGAAAUUCGUAGAUAUUAGGAAGAACACCAGUGGCGAAGGCGGCCAACUGGCUCGAUACUGACGCUGAGGUGCGAAAGCGUGGGGAGCAAACAGGAUUAGAUACCCUAGUAGUCCCUGAGCGGGCUGGCAAGGCGCAU
RNAcentral lists this ribosomal RNA (447 nucleotides) under uncultured bacterium. RNAcentral describes it as "bacterial SSU rRNA". It matches the Rfam family "Bacterial small subunit ribosomal RNA", at positions 355 to 825 of the family's 1533-position model. The record is from RNAcentral.